Molecule: ribosomal RNA, 396 nt
Filed under: Mytilus edulis (blue mussel)
Lineage: Eukaryota; Metazoa; Mollusca; Bivalvia; Mytilida; Mytilidae
Description: SSU rRNA
Rfam family: Eukaryotic small subunit ribosomal RNA
Source: RNAcentral
GCAGCCGCGGUAAUUCCAGCUCCAAUAGCGUAUAUUAAAGUUGUUGCAGUUAAAAAGCUCGUAGUUGGAUCUCGGGUCCAGGCUGGCGGUCCGACGCCUGUCGGUUACUGCCUGCUCCUGACCUACCUCCCGGUUUUUUCGCCCUUGGUGCUCUUGACUGAGUGUCUCGGGUGGCCGGAACGUUUACUUUGAAAAAAUUAGAGUGUUCAAAGCAGGCAAUAUCGCCUGAAUAAUGGUGCAUGGAAUAAUGGAAUAGGACCUCGGUUCUAUUUUGCUGGUUUUCGGAGCUCGAGGUAAUGAUUAAGAGGGACUGACGGGGGCAUUCGUAUUACGGUGUUAGAGGUGAAAUUCUUGGAUCGCCGUAAGACGAACUACUGCGAAAGCAUUUGCCAAGCA